Molecule: ribosomal RNA, 458 nt
Filed under: uncultured bacterium
Lineage: Bacteria
Description: partial 16S ribosomal RNA
Rfam family: Bacterial small subunit ribosomal RNA
Source: RNAcentral
CCUACGGGUGGCAGCAGUGAGGAAUAUUGGUCAAUGGGCGAGAGCCUGAACCAGCCAAGUCGCGUGAGGGAGUACUGCCCUAUGGGUUGUAAACCUCUUUUGUCGGGGAGCAAAAGCCGGACGUGUCCGGCUGUGCGAGUACCCGAUGAAACAGCAUAGGCUAACUCCGUGCCAGCAGCCGCGGUAAUACGGAGGAUGCGAGCGUUAUCCGGAUUUAUUGGGUUUAAAGGGUGCGCAGGCGGAUUUUUAAGUCAGCGGUCAAAUCGUAGGGCUCAACCCCAUCCAGCCGUUGAAACUGGGGAUCUUGAGUGUGCGAGAGGUAUGCGGAAUUCGUGGUGUAGCGGUGAAAUGCAUAGAUAUUACGCAGAACCCCGAUUGCGAAGGCAGCAUACCGGUGCACAACUGACGCUCAGGCACGAAAGCGUGGGUAGCGAACAGGAUUAGAUACCCCUGUAGUC